UUAAAAUGAGAGUUUGAUCCUGGCUCAGGAUGAACGCUGGCGGCGUGCCUAAUACAUGCAAGUCGAACGCGCUGUGGCAAUUAUUGAGAAGCUUGCUUCAAUUUAAUUGCAAUGCAGCGAGUGGCGAACGGGUGAGUAACACGUGGGAAACCUACCUCUUAGCAGGGGAUAACAUUUGGAAACAGAUGCUAAUACCGUAUAAUAACUUUUACCGCAUGGUGAAAGUUUGAAAGAUGGUUCUGCUAUCACUAAGAGAUGGUCCCGCGGUGUAUUAGCUAGAUGGUGAGGUAAUGGCUCACCAUGGCGAUGAUACAUAGCCGAGUUGAGAGACUGAUCGGCCACAUUGGAACUGAGACACGGUCCAAACUCCUACGGGAGGCAGCAGUAGGGAAUCUUCCACAAUGGACGAAAGUCUGAUGGAGCAACGCCGCGUGUGUGAUGAAGGGUUUCGGCUCGUAAAACACUGUUAUAAGAGAAGAACGUCAGUGAGAGUAACUGUUCAUUGAGUGACGGUAUCUUAUCAGAAAGGGACGGCUAAAUACGUGCCAGCAGCCGCGGUAAUACGUAUGUCCCAAGCGUUAUCCGGAUUUAUUGGGCGUAAAGCGAGCGCAGGCGGUUAUUUAAGUCUGAUGUGAAAGCCUACGGCUCAACCGUAGAAUUGCAUCGGAAACUGGAUGACUUGAGUGCAGUAGAGGAGAGUGGAACUCCAUGUGUAGCGGUGAAAUGCGUAGAUAUAUGGAAGAACACCAGAGGCGAAGGCGGCUCUCUGGACUGUAACUGACGCUGAGGCUCGAAAGUGUGGGUAGCAAACAGGAUUAGAUACCCUGGUAGUCCACACCGUAAACGAUGAAUGCUAGUUGUUAGAGGGUUUCCGCCCUUUAGUGACGCAGCUAACGCAUUAAGCAUUCCGCCUGGGGAGUACGACCGCAAGGUUGAAACUCAAAGGAAUUGACGGGGGCCCGCACAAGCGGUGGAGCAUGUGGUUUAAUUCGAAGCAACGCGAAGAACCUUACCAGGUCUUGACAUCUUUCGCUAUCUUAAGAGAUUAAGAGUUCCCUUCGGGGACGGAAUGACAGGUGGUGCAUGGUUGUCGUCAGCUCGUGUCGUGAGAUGUUGGGUUAAGUCCCGCAACGAGCGCAACCCUUAUCAUUAGUUGCCAGCAUUAAGUUGGGCACUCUAAUGAGACUGCCGGUGAUAAACCGGAGGAAGGUGGGGAUGACGUCAAAUCAUCAUGCCCCUUAUGACCUGGGCUACACACGUGCUACAAUGGAUGGUACAACGAGUUGCGAACCCGCGAGGGCAAGCUAAUCUCUUAAAGCCAUUCUCAGUUCGGAUUGUAGUCUGCAACUCGACUACAUGAAGUCGGAAUCGCUAGUAAUCGCGGAUCAGCACGCCGCGGUGAAUACGUUCCCGGGCCUUGUACACACCGCCCGUCACACCAUGAGAGUUUGUAACACCCAAAGUCGGUGGGGUAACCUUCGGGAGCCAGCCGCCUAAGGUGGGAUAGAUGAUUAGGGUGAAGUCGUAACAAGGUAGCCGUAGGAGAACCUGCGGCUGGAUCACCUCCUUUCUAAGGA
RNAcentral lists this ribosomal RNA (1577 nucleotides) under Periweissella fabalis. RNAcentral's name for it is "bacterial SSU rRNA". It matches the Rfam family "Bacterial small subunit ribosomal RNA". Lineage: Bacteria; Bacillati; Bacillota; Bacilli; Lactobacillales; Lactobacillaceae. The record is from RNAcentral.